UAGCUAAUGCCCAAGACGGAUUAUACUACUUUAAAUCAAGUAAGGCAUCCAUGACAUGUUCUGCAGUAGAUAUUCAGACAUGUCAUACAAGAUUAUGUCAUAUUUCUUUUAAGAAAAUAAAACUUUUAACAAAAACUUGUAAGAUGUAGUUUUAAAGGAUUCUAUGAAUAAAUUUUUUUAUGAAUUUUGUAAUAUUUGCUCACUUACUAAAUAACAAAAGUUAUCAUUUCCAAAGAAAAGUUACACACAAACUCAUGAUAUAUUUGACAUAAUUCAUGUGGAUAUUUUGGGUAAAUUAUCAAUCCAAACAUACAAUUUAAAACAAUAUUUUUUAACAAUUGUUGAAAAUAAAAGUAGAAAUGUUUGGGUAUAUGAAUGAGUAAAAAAUCAAAUACGUUUGAAGUGAUUAAAAACUUUAUAACGAUGAUUAAGACUUAAUACAAUAAACAAAUUAAAAAAAUCAGUUCAGAUAAUGGUCUAGAAUUUACAUCAAAUAAAAUAAAAGAGAUACUAAAAUUCAAUGGAAUUACCUAAUUAAUGAAUGUGGUCUUCUAGGAGGAAAAAUCUCAAAAAUCACAAUGGAAAAAGGGAUAGAUUGGAGAAACAAUCAAACCAAAGAAUUAAAUGAUCCUUUCAUUUAUAGAAGGAUCAUAGGAAAAUUGAUAUACCUUAACAUCACCAGACCUGACAUUACAUAUACAGUCAGGAUUCUAAGUCAAUUUAUGGAAAAAACCAACACAAAUGCAUCUAGAUGCAAUUAAUUUGAUACUUAAAACAAGCUCCUGAACAAGGGAUUAUGAUAAGUAAAGAAAAACCACUAGAGUUGGAAGGUUAUUGUGAUGCAGACUGGGGUGCAUGCACUCUCAGUAGAAGAUCAAUGUUUGAUUUUUGCAUGCUCUUAGGUGGAAAUUUGAUCUCAUAGAAAUCAAACAAGCAACAAACUGUUUCUUUUUCUUUAGCUGAAUCCGAAUACAGAGCUCUGACGACAGCAACAAGAGAGGUAAUAUGGAUAAGGCAACUUAUGAAAGAGAUGAAAAUGCCACUAAAUAAUCCAACAUCAUUGUAUUGUGAUAACAAAUCUGCGCUAUACAUAGCACAAAAUCCUGUUUUUCACGAGAAAACAAAACACACAGAGAUGAUAUGUAACUAUGUGAGGGAAAAAAUAGAAUUAGGUGAUAUGACCCUCAAACACAUUGGAACAAAGCAAAACCUAGCCGACAUAUUCACCAAAACAAUGGGUGAAGUCCAAAUGACUGGAUUCCUAUCCAAAUUGGGCAUCAAAGACAUCUACUCCUCAAUUUGAGGGGGGGGUGUAUUAAGUAUAUAUUAGUAUUAAUUAAGAAUUAUUAAAAGGAUGGAACCUAAGAUCAAGUCAGAGUUAAAUCAACUACAAGAAGAGGUCGGCUAAAAUAAUUAGUUAAAUAUUAAGUUGUUAAAUUUUAUCUAAUUACUAAUCCUAGUUAUUUUAUCUAAAUACAUUUGGAAACUAUUAAAAUAAAUUAUAAACUUACUGCAAUUUUUCCACCUUCUUCUUCCUCUAUCUUUUAUUGUUACGAUAGUUGCUGAUUGGGUUCAGGUAAGCUUGGUGGUAGAAAGUCCUAUUGGGGCUUUCUGAUUAUGACCACUACAGUUGCGAUUCUUGACGGGAACAACUGCAGAUCUAAGGGCAAUUUUUUAUAUGAGAAGCCUUGUGAAUCUCACCAUCUCCUUCAACUUCUUUUCCGAGUUCAGUCACGACCGUACAAAAUCAUUCCAGGGAUUUGAUUUCCUCUAGAGGGAUGCAAAGACCAUCGCCGGACUGUGCUUCUGUUCCCGCCGGCGUCCAGGAAAGCUGCUAUAUACAAGCUGGUGAGUUACAUGCACCAACGACUAAUACAAUUAACUAACGAAGAGUAAAUUAAGAAAAAUUACUUUCUAACAAUCCCUAACGAUGUAAGAACUAGAAUUGGUGGUUACUUUUGACCACGAAGCCAUUUAAGUGAUUAGAAAUGAAACCCAUCAAAAAAAUGUAAAAGUUGACAUUUGUUUGUUAGGACAUAUAAGUCGUGGA
RNAcentral lists this long non-coding RNA (2050 nucleotides) under Zostera marina. Its description in RNAcentral is "long non-coding RNA (ZMAR_LNC003434)". Lineage: Eukaryota; Viridiplantae; Streptophyta; Magnoliopsida; Alismatales; Zosteraceae. The record is from RNAcentral.